CUAAACAUUUUUAAAAUAUACAGAUUAAGUAACCACAUAGGUAAUAUUUAACUAUUGAGGUUAAAUGUGUUUGGCUUUCUGUCCGCAGAGGAAGGGCUCCAGCUCAACUCAAGCUCUGAUAAAGCAGGUGCUUGGAAGAUAUUUUUGGAAGGGUGCUUGUUGUAUUUUUCUGGUCACCGAAAAGAUGGCAUUUUUAUUACUGAACAGGCAUGAUUGCGGUCCCUGUUUGAUCUGACAAGAGACCCAGAGAGCAAUCACACCCAGAGGUCCGUCACGCUAAGAAUCCUCACUGUUCGUCAUACCUCACUCCAAUCUACAUCAACACCCCCCAAUCACCACCUCCUUCGACUGCAUGGCAACCAGCUCCCAUGGCAACCACUCCUACAAGGGUUGUAUAGGGCCGUCAAGUUUCGAUCCCAGCCCAUGUAGCAGUGAUCC
This is a non-coding RNA of Pimephales promelas (fathead minnow), 438 nucleotides long. Lineage: Eukaryota; Metazoa; Chordata; Actinopteri; Cypriniformes; Leuciscidae. The record is from RefSeq and is a predicted model, not a curated record.